This 477-nucleotide ribosomal RNA is filed under the name uncultured Candidatus Scalindua sp. RNAcentral describes it as "bacterial SSU rRNA". It matches the Rfam family "Bacterial small subunit ribosomal RNA", at positions 365 to 832 of the family's 1533-position model. The record is from RNAcentral. Lineage: Bacteria; Pseudomonadati; Planctomycetota; Candidatus Brocadiia; Candidatus Brocadiales; Candidatus Scalinduaceae.
UUCGCAAUGCCCGAAAGGGUGACGAAGCGACGCCGCGUGGGUGAGGAAGGCCUUCGGGUUGUAAAACCCUGUCAGGAGUUAUGAAAUGUAAGUGCGCUAAUAUCGUGCUUAUUUGACAAAGGCUCCAAAGGAAGCCACGGCUAACUCUGUGCCAGCAGCCGCGGUAAUACAGAGGUGGCGAGCGUUGUUCGGAAUUAUUGGGCGUAAAGAGCACGUAGGUGGGUUUGCAAGUCAGAUGCGAAAGCCUUCUGUUCAACGGAAGAAUUGCAUCUGAAACUGUUAAUCUUGAGUAUAGGAGGGGAGAAUGGAACUUCUGGUGGAGCGGUGAAAUGCGUAGAUAUCAGAAGGAACGCCGGCGGCGAAAGCGAUUCUCUGGCCUAUUACUGACACUCAGUGUGCGAAAGCUAGGGGAGCAAACGGGAUUAGAUACCCCGGUAGUCCUAGCCGUAAACGACGGGCACUAAGUAGAGGGGUUUU